UACGUAGGGGGCAAGCGUUGUCCGGAAUUAUUGGGCGUAAAGAGCUCGUAGGUGGCUUGUCGCGUCUGCCGUGAAAUCCUGUGGCUUAACUGCGGGUCUGCGGUGGAUACGGGCUGGCUUGAGGUAGGUAGGGGCAAGCGGAAUUCCUGGUGUAGCGGUGAAAUGCGCAGAUAUCAGGAGGAACACCGGUGGCGAAGGCGGCUUGCUGGGCCUUACCUGACGCUGAGGAGCGAAAGCGUGGGGAGCGAACAGG
This 253-nucleotide ribosomal RNA is filed under the name uncultured bacterium. RNAcentral describes it as "partial 16S ribosomal RNA". It matches the Rfam family "Bacterial small subunit ribosomal RNA", at positions 524 to 776 of the family's 1533-position model. The record is from RNAcentral.